UACGAAGGGGGCUAGCGUUGCUCGGAAUCACUGGGCGUAAAGCGCACGUAGGCGGCUUUUUACGUCAGAGGUGAAAUCCUGGAGCUCAACUCCAGAACUGCCUUUGAUACUGGAGAGCUUGAGUCCGGGAGAGGUGAGUGGAACUGCGAGUGUAGAGGUGAAAUUCGUAGAUAUUCGCAAGAACACCAGUGGCGAAGGCGGCUCACUGGCCCGGUACUGACGCUGAGGUGCGAAAGCGUGGGGAGCAAACAGG
Molecule: ribosomal RNA, 253 nt
Filed under: uncultured bacterium
Lineage: Bacteria
Description: partial 16S ribosomal RNA
Rfam family: Bacterial small subunit ribosomal RNA
Source: RNAcentral